Long non-coding RNA from Erinaceus europaeus (western European hedgehog), 604 nucleotides. RefSeq lists it as uncharacterized. The transcript has 3 exons. The record is from RefSeq and is a predicted model, not a curated record. NCBI's taxonomy places the organism in Eukaryota, Metazoa, Chordata, Mammalia, Eulipotyphla, Erinaceidae.
AUUUAUUUCUUGGGAGCUGGGCAGUAGUGCACAGGGUGAAGUGCACAUGGUGCGAAGCACAAGGACCUGCUUAAGGAUCCUAGUUCUAGCUCCUGGCUCCCCACUUGCAGGGUGGAGAAGCAGGUCUACAGGUGUCUUUCUCUCCCCCUCUCUGUCUUCCCUUCCGGUCUCAAUUUCUCUCUGUUCUAUCCAACAACAACAACAGCAACAACAACAACAAACGACAAUAAUAACUACAACAACGAUAAACAACAAGGGCAACAAAAAGGAAAAAAAUAACCUCCCGGAUCAGUGGAUUCAUAGUGCAGGCACUGAACCACAGGAGGUUACAUUAUGGCAGAGGUUCUUCACCUCUGAACCAGAUGAGCAUUUCUACCCUGAUGCAUUUACAGAAUAAGGUUCCAGAUGCCAUCAGGAUGCUGGCCAGGCUUCCCUGGAUUGAAGACCCCACCAAUAUGUCCUGGAGCUCAGCUUCCCCAGAGACACACCCUACUAGGGAAAGAGAGAGGCAGACUGGGAGUAUGGACUGACUAGUCAAAGCCCAUGUUCAGCGGGGAAGCAAUUACAGAAGCCAGACCUUCUACCUUCUGUAACCCACGAUGAC